This is a long non-coding RNA of Megalops cyprinoides (Indo-Pacific tarpon), 1306 nucleotides long. RefSeq lists it as uncharacterized. The transcript has 4 exons. NCBI's taxonomy places the organism in Eukaryota, Metazoa, Chordata, Actinopteri, Elopiformes, Megalopidae. The record is from RefSeq and is a predicted model, not a curated record.
CAGAGACAGCAUGGCUGUUCUGUCAGUACAGAUGGAUCAUUAGCUACUGGAUCUGAUAAGUGGGGCUUUAAUGGAGAAGACUUCCUGACCUUUGACUUGGAUGCUGGUACCUGGAGAUCAGACUCUCCACAAGCACUUAGGGCAGAGCAAGAGUGGAAUCAGAGGACAUUAGGCAAUAAAAUUUAUAAAGACUUUCUCCUAAAUAAAUGUCAGAAUUUACUGAACAGGUUUAUGAAGAAAGAAGAGGAAGGAAUGAAAUACACAGUCCCUGAGGUGCACACAUUUGCCAAGUUUGUGCCAGAGAAGAAGGCCGUGUCUUUACGGUGUCAGGUGGCGUGUCGUGACUCAACAGGGCUGCAGAUCCAGGUGACACGAGGUGGACAGGUAGUGGCUGACAGGAGGACAGCCACAGGGCCACUGCCUAAUAUGGACGGGACAGUGCAGCUGAGGCUGAGCAUUGAGAUCAGUCCUGCAGACACACGGGGGUAUCGCUGUGAGAUACACAGCAACACGGGCAACAUGUCUGUCACAUGAGUUGACUUCAUGAAAAAUAAGUCUGUGGAAACUUCCCCAAGCAGAACACAAUCGAAGACCUCAGACCAAGCCCACUAUCUAAUUCCCUGUAUUUCGUUGGUGGGAAUACUACUUUCUUGUUUUAUUUUGGUGAAAGUGAAAGACAAGCCAAAGUCGAAACUGAAACAGACAGCUGUGGAUCCAAGCUUGGUGAAGUGGUUCAUGAAGAUAAGAGACAACAUUAACUUCAUACUGGCAAUGGUGACAGACAUCAUGAUCUUUGAAUCAAACACCCCAGAAUGUCACAGAGAUAUAAAUGAGCAAUGGCAUAAAAUGGCCUCAGAUGAUGAUGAAUUUUAUGCUCCUUGGAAACACAGGCAACAGCACACUGAGCUUGAGACUUCACUCUGAGAUUUUGCAUCAUGGAAGAGUUUGUGGUGUUAUUCUUUUCCUUUGUCUGUAGAAAAACAGAACUAUGUACAAACCAGGGUGCCUUACACAGCAGUAUAUGUCUUAGAUGAAAACCAAUGGACCUUCUUAUUUUGUAUUAUGUGAAAAUAUAGAAUUUAAAUCACAUGUUAAAAGAAAUGUGCUGCCUACCAAGUAGCCCAGUGGUCAAGGAAUUUGUUAAGAUGGGAAGCUAUCUUGAACUAUCCUUCACAAACUGCAGUGCAUCUCAGCACACAUAUGAUAGAUGUUAGAUAAUGUGGUGUGGUUUCCCACUAACAACUGCUUCAAUGAAAUGGCCAGCAGAGGGAGAUAGUGUGUUCGUUGUUUACAAUAAAGUUUUAAA